Molecule: long non-coding RNA, 451 nt
Filed under: Sorghum bicolor (sorghum)
Lineage: Eukaryota; Viridiplantae; Streptophyta; Magnoliopsida; Poales; Poaceae
Description: long non-coding RNA (SBIC_LNC006508)
Source: RNAcentral
GGCCGUGGCCAAAGACAAAGGCAUUGAGUGUGUCUGACCAGAAAUAUGAUGCGGCUAUCAGCAGUGACUCGUUCCUAUGCAUAUCGGCAAUGGACAACCUGAUGCAUUGGUCUCGUUUUCUCUCACCCCACUGGACUUCAUUUGAAUGGCUGACUCUCAAAAACCAAUCCUUCCAUCCCACGGUAGGACUGGGCCAGGAACGAAAGGUAUCCUUCCACAGAUCUAGAGAGAAAUUCUCGGCUCUAAAGGGGAUUCUGUUUGUUUCUGCGUUAAUAAGAUUGGUGGGAUCUGGAUCUCCUAACGGACCAAGACAUUGGAGGUGUGGCUGAUCGGUGAGGAUGACAAUUUUAUUGGACAGGUCCUAAUGGUUUUGAAGGUAAAAGGAAGAACAAAGAAAGAAAAAAAAAUGUUCAGUAAAAUAAAUUGCGGAUGAACAGGGAUACGGUAAAGG